GGGAGUUUGGCUGUGAUAAUUAGGUUUGUUUGAUGAUAAGAUAUUAUUAGAGAGUCGACUUUGGCGAGGGCCCUUCCAAGUCCUUUGGUUUUGGGGAGCAUAAAAGACAAGUGGCCUCCUUAAUACAUGUUAGUGGACAAUGGCGAGAGGGGCGAUAGAGCGUGCGAACAGGUGAGGAAAUCCGGAGGCUAAGUUUGGGGGCUGGGCCGGGGUCGUAUUAGGUAGAAGGCGGUAUGGUGGACCCCCUUGCCGAAGAUGCGUAGCUUUAACUUGAAGCCACAGUUUCACUGAGACAAGGGGAAGAUUCAGAGGUGGGCGUAAAGCCCACGGGGCAGCAGUAAAGAAUUUUGUGCAAUAUCCGAAAGGAAGACACAGGGAGGAGACAUUUAUUUGAUCCGUCAAAUUAAGUGCCAGCAGACGCGGUGAAACUUAGGGGUUGGUCUUAUAGGAAAGGCGUAAGGAGUGUGAGCGGGGUUUUUGUUGUUGAAGAGGGUAAAUGGAAUUUCUCUGUAAUGGUGACAUGUAUUAAUAGAAAAAAGAAUUUUAGAUGUGAAGGAAAUUUAUCUCUCGGGAGCGGGCUGGGGGCUUUCGCCUAGCCCGCCCCCCCCCCUUAAUAAGGCUGUUAUACGAGGGGGUCUGGCGGAAAUACGAAGGUAUGGGGAGCAAACAGGAUUAGAGAUCCUGGUAGUCCAUACUGUAAAUAAUGAAGAAGAUGUGAUGCAACCCUAAAAGGUAAUAAAUUUUUCGCUUGAGUAGUACGAUCGCAAGAUUAAAAUUCAAAAAGCUUGGCUGUUCACUGUUUUAAUUAGAGGAGCGUGUUGUUUAAUUCGAUAGUCCGCGAGAUACCUCACCCAAACUUGAAUUCGCCCCUUGACAGGUAUUGCAUGGCCGUCGUCAGUUUGUGUGUAAAACAUAAAACCGAUUUAACCCUGUGGAUUCGUUUAUUGGAUGAAGUCAGGUCUUAUUGUCCUAAUGUUUGGGGAUUAGAUGCGCUACAUUUUUUUAUACAAUGGGAGACUUUAAAGGUGAAACCCUAAAGUGAGAGUUCGGAGGGCGUCUGGAAGACAACUGAAAGUUGUAUUUAAUAGUAAUUGGAAAGUAGAGCGUUCUGGUGAAAUUGGUCCAGUGUUAGUACAAAUUGCCCGUCGCCUUUGCUUAGAAUGGUGGUUUGAAUGCCUCUUAUUGUAAGGGCUACGAGCGCCUACGAGGCAGAGUAAGUCGUAACAUAGUGAGGGUGGGGGAACUGGCUCUUG
Molecule: ribosomal RNA, 1253 nt
Filed under: Corallimorphus profundus
Lineage: Eukaryota; Metazoa; Cnidaria; Anthozoa; Corallimorpharia; Corallimorphidae
Description: small subunit ribosomal RNA
Rfam family: Bacterial small subunit ribosomal RNA
Source: RNAcentral